CAUUUCUCGAAAUCAGGUCUCUGCAUUGCAUCCAUGUAGGUGAUUGGAUCCUCAUCGUUCUUAUCGAGUUCGAUAGGAUCACCGUUCUAGACCAAGAAACCGUAGUAUCUGUCCGGCUGACGCAGUACUCUAUCGGAUCUCCUUAAUGGUGUAGGUACAUUGGGCUCCAGAUCUGAUCUAAUCAAAUCCGACUCAAGUUUAGGUAUUGGUGUCGGUCUUUCUACCUGUUGAACUUCAUCAAGUUC
Molecule: long non-coding RNA, 245 nt
Filed under: Elaeis guineensis (African oil palm)
Lineage: Eukaryota; Viridiplantae; Streptophyta; Magnoliopsida; Arecales; Arecaceae
Description: long non-coding RNA (EGUI_LNC080773)
Source: RNAcentral